CGGGCGUCUGCUUAUAGGCGUUAAUCAGCCACGUCUAUAGAGUGGGCGGGUAACUGCUUCUCCCGAGUUGAGUUGACAUAAAGUUGAUAAGUCACAUCAACUAGCCUCUUGGAGACGUCAAAUCAAUUUAAACCUUAGGGGUAGAAAGGAUCUUAGCAAACACCUCUUUCUGAAAUUGGCGGCGUAUCUUCUGAUAGAGGUCUCCGGAGUGCACUUCCCCUCGGCAUCAUGGGCGAGGGGACUUCGGUCAAUUCGGCAGGAUUGUCUAUGUCUUGCAGUGUGAUAGUAGAUCGUUGACAUUAGGAAGAUCACUUUGGAACCACUUCGGGUAAGUGUCUAGUAGAUCAGAGUGCCUGGUGGUGGAGAUUUCGAGGUGGUUCAGAUAGGGGCGUAACAAUGGUCCUCCAAGUCCAGGUAUGAAUAUUUAUAACAUGGAUGGACUUGCUUUCCUGACCGGAUGUGUAUGCUUCGGUGUGUGGACCGUGACUUGUGGGAGUUUGUGGGCCGAUCUUCUGCAAUCGUCGAAGCGAUUAUCUUAGGUAGACGCUCUAAAGCUUCGCUACUGUGUAAGGAAAACAAUUACAUAUGUGAGACCAAAGUGCUGCAAGACUGGAUGAUGCGUAGGACGGAGGUCAACGCAUCGACCGAGGCGAUGACCUACAGUGGACUCGCAUCAAGUGCGUCUAUGCUUUGUAAAGUUGAGUGAGGAGCUCAUCUGCGACGCACUGGGGACUUCGCGUCAGGUGCGUCUAUGCUUUGUAAAGUUGAGUGAGGAGCUCAUCUGCCACCGGUGCGCUGACCCACAGGGGACGACGCGUUGGGAGAUGACUAAAACUUUGUAAAGCUUAGACGGGAACGCAUCAACCGAGGGGAUGACCCAAAGGGGACUCCGCGUCAGGUGCGUCUACGCUUUGUAAAGUUGAGUGAGGAGCUCAUCUACUACCGGUGCGCUGACCCACAGAGGACGAUGCAUUGGGAGACGGCUAAAACUUUGUAAAGCUUAGGAAGGAACGCAGGGACCGAGGAGAUGACCCACAGGGGACUCCGCGUCAGGUGCGUCUAUGCUUUGUAAAGUUGAGUGAGGAGCUCAUCUGCCACCGGUGCGCUGACUCACAGGGGACGACUCGUUGGGAGAUGGCUAAAAUUUUGUAAAGCUUAGGCCGGAACGCAUCGAUCGAGACGAUGACCCACAGGGGACUCCGCGUCAGAUGCGUCUAUACUUUGUAAAGUUGAGUGAGGAGCUCAUCUGCCACUGGUACGCUGACCCACAGAGGACGACGUGUUGAGAGAUGGCUAAAACUUUGUAAAGCUUAUGAGGGAACGUAGCAAUCGAGGCGAUGACCCACAGGGGACACCGCAUCAGGUGCGUCUAAAUUUUGUAAAGUUGAGUUAGGAGAUCGACCCGAGGCGGGCAUCUGACAUUAAAUGAUUUGACAGCCGUUGCGUAUUUCAAAGGUGACAGUUGGGUGCCAUGCUCAUUCCCCUAAUUAUAGACGGCUGGGGGUGACAGAGGUGAUGCAUUUUGUGCGAGCGUGAGAGUCACAGUAAGAUCUUAGGCGUAGAUCAAAUCUGGAGUUUCAUUUCAACGGCCUAGAUUGAUGAUGCGACGAAUGGCCUAGAUUGAUUGCAUUUGGAUUGAACGGUGGAGAUUAGCUGGAACGUUCUAUAAAAGGCGGACUUGAAGCGUCUUUGAAGAUUUUCACCCUUGUCCAAACAGAAAACUCACUUUGCUCUCAAAUCAUUCGCGAUUUUCGGCGUUUUUCGAGCUUUUCCGGCAAGAAAUAUCAAUUUUCGACGACCUUACAUCAUUUUCUGACCAUUUUCGGCUGGGGAACCUUCUAAAUUUGUAAGUUUCAGUAUCUUUUAGUAUAUUUAUUUUCUGAAAAAUGGCUUCUGAGGGAAGUUCAGGUUCGGGGAGGGGCCAGAAUUAGUGAGAAUGGACGAGCCCACUGUGGUGACCUCCUCCGAUAUAGCCGAAGCGAUAAUUGGGGAGAGAACAUAUGGAAGGGGCCGGAUAGCCCGACUGAUACUUUCGUGCACUAGGGGGGUCGGAUUACCCCUCUAAACUAAAGGAGGCCGACCUAGAGAGACUUAGGGUAGAAUAUAGGAUUCCAGAUAGCGUAAAUCUGAUCCUCCCCGAGUCUGAAGAGAGGGCCUGCUACCCUAGGCCGGGGUGUGUGGCCAUAAGUGAGGCGAUUCUUAGAGCCGGCCUUAGGCUUCCAAUUCACCCUUUCUUUAGGAUGGUACUUAGGUCCUGUGGGUUACUCUCGACCCAUCUCAACCCGAACUCCUGGAGCCAAAUGGUGGGCUCUUGGAUGUUAUGGAAAGAGGCGUCACUUGGGGUUGAGAUGCCAUUCUCCGUCUUUCAGACCCUUUAUAUCCCUAAAGUGACAGCUGAGGGGAUAGGACCCAGGGCUAGUAUUACCUUACCUCAUGUGGUUUCCAUACUCUAUUCGUGCUCGAUCUGCUGAGCUCCAUUAAAGAGUGGAAGGGCUUGUGGUAUUGGGCCGCAGGACGAUGGGACACGAUGGAGGGGGACCCCUGAUGCCUCUUACAAUCCCCACGAAGUACUCGACACUUAGUGAGUAUCACGGUUGUGUUUCUUUAUAUUUCUCUUCGGUUCAAAUCGUGACUAACAUUUAUGUUUCGUUUGAAGGUACUCUUCCUCGGUACAAACUGUCUUUUGAGGACUUCGAUACCAUUUGCAUCAUCUAUCAACUGCCUCAGAAGAAGAGGUCAUACCAUCGGCUGAUAAAAAAAAUCUACAGUUCGUUACACACGACCUGAUGGCAUCUCAAGGUAACUAUCCCGAAGCCUUUACCCUUCCAUAUUUCUGAACUCUUUACAUUUGUACUGAUUCAUUGUUUGUUCUUUGCAGAUAACUUCAACAAGAAGAUGCCCGUGCGUCCCGACUUUAAGACCAUCCAAAAGAUGAUGGCAAAGGCAGGGGCGCUGAAGACUUCCUCCUCCACCUACAAAAAGCAAAUGGAGGACCUGGUGGAUGCCAGUAAAAGGCUCCAGCCUUCAACAGAGGAGGAGGUGCCAGAGGACCCCGCGGGGGAUCUAUUGCGGAAGGGCAAGAAAAGAGCCGUCCUUUCCAAACGCCCAACUGUGGCGAGGCCACCCCCUAUUCUGAAGCAGACUACAAUUCCAACUGGGGCGGCCAUUCCGGAGAAGAGGUCUACACCAGCAGAGGUUGCUACUGCCCUGACCACUUCACCACUUGCUGCGGUGCCCAUUGCCCAAGUGUCGAGACAGCAGAGGAGAAAAAGGGCCUGUCCCUCUAAGGAGGUCGACUUCUUGGUCACCAAUCCGGAGGAGCCAGUUAAAGAAGUGUUGGAGGCUCUUCCUCCAGAAACGGCUGCGGUGGCUGUGGUCCACAACAAAUACUGGACUGAAGAGUGGAGGGACCACACCGCUUCCUGCACGGCCGAAGACUUGGUGUCGGCCAACAGUGCCUACGUGGCCAGGACUCUUAGCACCAGCAUCCAACUGGAGGGCUUGGUGAAGGAUUUAAAUGCUAAGAGGAAGGACCUCGCCAAGCGCCUGGAGGAGGCGAUGUACUAUGGGGAUGCUGUGAAGGAGGCCCGGGCCAAGGCCACUGAGGAGGAGAAGGGAAGGAAAGAGACCGAGGCCCAGCUAUCCGCCGCCAAAGCUGAAGUGGAGCGGAUGAAGAAGGAGCUAUAUGAGGUGGAGUGCUAGGUGGCUGCCAUGACUCGGUGAGUGGAUCACGCCAAUGAGCACCACCGGCUCGCCAUGAAGGCUCUGAAGGCCUUGAACAAAAAAAGGCGGAGCUGAGGCAAAAGGCGGAGGCUCAACCUGAGGAGAUCGCCUCUUUAAAGGAGGAGUUGAAGUCGGCAGAGGAGGUGGCGGUUCAGAAUUUUAUUGACCACUUCGAAGAACGCCCCCUGUACGACGACUUCGCCAACUUUUGGGCCUCAUGGAGUGUCCAAGGCUUGCUAGGUUGGCUGAAAGAGAUCCACCCCACUCUGGACAUCUCCACUUUGGAGGCGGAGUUCGGGAGACCAACUGGAGGCCGGCUUGACAGGCUUGCUGAAGAAGCUCUGGAGGUGGUCGAGGCAGAAGCGGCCCGAGAAGACCCUCCAGUAGAAUAGGGCCAACUUUUGUAAUGGC
RNAcentral lists this long non-coding RNA (4134 nucleotides) under Olea europaea subsp. europaea. Lineage: Eukaryota; Viridiplantae; Streptophyta; Magnoliopsida; Lamiales; Oleaceae. The record is from RNAcentral.